UGGUUCGAUCGAUACGCUAGG
Molecule: non-coding RNA, 21 nt
Organism: Caenorhabditis elegans
Lineage: Eukaryota; Metazoa; Nematoda; Chromadorea; Rhabditida; Rhabditidae
Source: Ensembl